GGUUAAGCGAACAAGCGUACACGGUGGAUGCCCUGGCAGUCAGAGGCGAUGAAGGACGUGCUAAUCUGCGAAAAGCGCCGGUAAGGUGAUAUGAACCGUUAUAACCGGCGAUGUCCGAAUGGGGAAACCCGGUGCACUUCGGUGCAUCAUCGUUAGCUGAAUACAUAGGCUAACGAGGCGAACCGGGGGAACUGAAACAUCUAAGUACCCCGAGGAAAAGAAAUCAACCGAGAUUCCCCCAGUAGCGGCGAGCGAACGGGGAACAGCCCAGAGCCUGAAUCAGCUUGUGUGUCAGUGGAACGGUCUGGAAAGGCCGGCGAUACAGGGUGACAGCCCCGUACACGAAGGCACACAGGCUGUGAGCUCGAUGAGUAGGGCGGGACACGUGAUAUCCUGUCUGAAGAUGGGGGGACCAUCCUCCAAGGCUAAAUACUCCUGACUGACCGAUAGUGAACCAGUACCGUGAGGGAAAGGCGAAAAGAACCCCGGCGAGGGGAGUGAAACAGAACCUGAAACCGUGUACGUACAAGCAGUGGGAGCCUUCGUAAGAGGGUGACUGCGUACCUUUUGUAUAAUGGGUCAGCGACUUAUAUUCUGUAGCAAGGUUAACCGUAUAGGGGAGCCGAAGGGAAACCGAGUCUUAACCGGGCGUUAAGUUGCAGGGUAUAGACCCGAAACCCGGUGAUCUAGCCAUGGGCAGGUUGAAGGUUGGGUAACACUAACUGGAGGACCGAACCGACUAAUGUUGAAAAAUUAGCGGAUGACCUGUGGCUGGGGGUGAAAGGCCAAUCAAACCGGGAGAUAGCUGGUUCUCCCCGAAAGCUAUUUAGGUAGCGCCUCGUGAACUCAUCUCCGGGGGUAGAGCACUGUUUCGGCUAGGGGGCCAUCCCGGCUUACCAACCCGAUGCAAACUGCGAAUACCGGAGAAUGUUAUCACGGGAGACACACGGCGGGUGCUAACGUCCGUCGUGAAGAGGGAAACAACCCAGACCGCCAGCUAAGGUCCCAAAGUCAUGGUUAAGUGGGAAACGAUGUGGGAAGGCCCAGACAGCCAGGAUGUUGGCUUAGAAGCAGCCAUCAUUUAAAGAAAGCGUAAUAGCUCACUGGUCGAGUCGGCCUGCGCGGAAGAUGUAACGGGGCUAAACCAUGCACCGAAGCUGCGGCAGCGAC
RNAcentral lists this ribosomal RNA (1170 nucleotides) under Cronobacter sakazakii. RNAcentral describes it as "partial 23S ribosomal RNA". It matches the Rfam family "Bacterial large subunit ribosomal RNA", at positions 1 to 1212 of the family's 2925-position model. Lineage: Bacteria; Pseudomonadati; Pseudomonadota; Gammaproteobacteria; Enterobacterales; Enterobacteriaceae. The record is from RNAcentral.